UUAUGUACUUAAUAACUGUUAUCAUGUCCCCUCUCAGUCUUCUCUUUUCCAGACUAAAUGGUAAGCAUUUGCUCAAUAUACCCGACAACUUGGCCAACACAAGCAAAGCGUAAGCAGACAUACAAGUUGAAAAUAAUUCACAAAUUGACCCUGUUAUUGACCAUGAGAUUAAAAAGUCUGUUACAGACAAUCCAGAGGGUUUGCAAUAUAGCAGAUCAGGAAAAUUGCUGAAAUGCCCUAAGAGACUGAUUGAGAUGUAUUAUGGUUGUAUUUGAGCAAUGUGAAGGGUUGUUAAGUCAGUUAUUGUAUUUGUAAUAGUUUAUUAGUUUAAUUUAAUAGUGGUUUUUUUUUAGUUUAGUCAGGAAAUUUAGAAAGGGAUCUAGAAAAGGGAAGUUGUAACAUAGAGUAAGCCCUCCAGGGAGUAUAGAGAUGCCAAAUUUCCUGAACACUCCAGGUGCAAACUCUGGUUUCAGGUGACACAUUUCCUGCUGAGGCAGAAACAAAGAAGCCCAGGACAGGACAGUUGCAGGCUGCAGCUACACAGAGGAGUAGUAAGUUUUGUUAACUCAUUUCUGUGCAUAGCUCCUGUUCAUGAUAAAGGAUUUAUCUUGACACCUGUUUGAUCAUCAGUAAGAUACUUCAAGGGCCAUCCCCACGGAGCUCUGUGCCUCCAAACUGGCUGCCAAACAUUUGCAGCCUCUUCUGGCCAUCCAUCAGCAUAAGUCCUGCAGAAGUAUCCUACACAGGCUGUACUGUUGACCUCUCCUCAUAUGAGGUUAGUUGAUAGCAAUGAGGUGAUAAACUAUUAAUGUAUCCCAAAAAUUCCAUGAGAUUAUUAUGGAGGACAAUGCCACAGCUGCAGAAGUUAAAGAAACAUUGCAGUCCUGUGACUAAGAGAGAAUCUGGUGCACCAUUAGAAUUAUGCAUCAGAAUAUGUCAAUAUUCACACAGAGCAAAGAGGACCUCAGCUUUGAAAGCACCAUCCAGUGAUCCAUGUACAGUGAACACCUUGGAAUUCCAUCGAUCUACUUGGAGAAUAUAAAGGGCUGAGUCAACCCGAACCCUUUCCAAUUUUGCAACAUCCUUUUUGAAAUGUGGACACCAGAACUGGACACAGUAUUCCAGUAAUAGUCUCAUUCGUGUCGUAUACAGAAGUAAUACCAUCUCCUUAUACUGAAAAACAUGUGGAGAGUGAGGGAUGGAACUGACCCUGAUUCUUUCCUUUAUUAAGUUGCAAGUGCUGACAAGGUUCAACUAUUUCAUAAAAGCCUGUGAGGGAUCUCUGCUAAUUGAGGAGAUGGGACUCUUCAGAAAGCCUCCCUCAGACUUUAAGGCUUUGAUCUUGCAAACACCUAAGUAUGGCUGCAGGAACAUCUCCUGGCACAGAGAACACAAAGACUCCUGCACUCUCAGUGCUCCCCCAAUGACUGCCAACCUGUGUGGUGCUGGAGGGAGAAAGCAGGAAGAAGACGACUGUGUGCCUCUGCGUCUCCUUGCUGAAAGGUGUAGACGGGCAUUUCCCUGAGAACAGGAUUUACGGAGAGAACAGGCUCUCUUGAGCCCUUUUCCCACAAGCCUGUUCCCCAGAGUCCCUGUUCCCUUGUCUGGACUCACAGGACUCUCACAAAUGUCAGUCCAAGGCACUCUUUGUAUACAAAGUAUAACGGUGGAUACUUUAGUAGUCUAGUCAUUCGCCAGUAGCUGAUGUACUUGAACACUAUCUCUAGCACAUAGGCUGGUGGGCCCUUAGCUCAGUGGGGCCUUAUUGUCGUAAGUCUGAAAACCACUGCACUAAGAGGCUGAUUCCACUGUGUUCAUUAGACCAACCUUCAUGCGGCACAAAGCUGGUGAUAAAGUUCUGGGUAAGGACUGGUUUAGGGAAAAUAAUGAGAUUGACGAUCCUUCCCUAAGGGAGGGCAGGGUGUCCAUUUCUGUCGAACAAGCUGCUGUUAGGUCAGUGUGUGACAGUUUGUGACCUUAUGUUUACCAGUUUUACAAGACUAUGAUAAAUUCUGCCCAAAGUAUGCCUGGUGAGGUAUCACUUGAAAACUUAUAAUCUGCUGAACAUUCUUCUCCUGGUAAAAUGUGUGGCAACACUGUAUGUAAAGUGUUAAGAUUCUAGUGUAUGACUUUAUGGAGACAUAUUCCAAGUUUAGAAAAGCAGGUACAGACCAGUUCCUCAGAGACAAAAGGCAAACUGACACCUCAGCCAGGUGUCCACACAAUCAGAUGGACUAUCACUGGAUUAAGUGGCCAUUCUUUGGCAGGAAGAAGGGUGAAGCAAGAGAUUUAUGUCUUGGAAAUGGAACAUCUGUGGGUUCUCAUUUAAACAGAUUGGCUGUCACUUGAGCUGGAGAUUUUCAAAGAGGAGGAAAAGAUAUAAAAAUGAGGAACAGAGGCCCCAAAUCACCUCUCGCCCCUCAUCUCUACUCCAUGGCAUCAAGGACAUUUGAAAGACAAAGAACGCAUCAUUGAACUGGGGGAGGGAUCCUGGCUGAACUGUAAGCAUAUGGAGAGAGAAAUCUUUUCGCUUUGAAUUCACUUAGGUUGAUAAGUUAGGUUUUAGUUUGCAUUUUGCCUUUUAUUUCUUUGUAACCAAUUCUGACUUUUAUG
Trachemys scripta elegans is the source of this 2613-nucleotide long non-coding RNA. RefSeq lists it as uncharacterized. The record is from RefSeq and is a predicted model, not a curated record. The transcript has 4 exons. NCBI's taxonomy places the organism in Eukaryota, Metazoa, Chordata, Testudines, Emydidae.